Non-coding RNA from Dermacentor albipictus, 1094 nucleotides. The record is from RefSeq and is a predicted model, not a curated record. Lineage: Eukaryota; Metazoa; Arthropoda; Arachnida; Ixodida; Ixodidae.
UGGUAAAUUGGCUGCCUGCAACUUGUGCACACAUUGCUUCACCACUAAUUCCUUGGGAUUAAACUCUGACAUUGCAGGACGAUCUCCCAUCCCCUGACCGCAACAGCAUGGACCAAAUAAGUGACAAAGGAAAUAUGGAAUGUGCUUGCCAACCUGGCCUCCGGACAUUAAUGGCAGAGUACUAAAGAGAAGAAAAAGACGUGGCAAAUUUCCUGCUAGAAAUGGCUUCACGGACAAGGCUUACAGAAACCAAGGCUGCCCAAGUGACAUCGGGUACUUUUCCACAGAAGUUUGUGAACACGAUAAAUAGUAGCAACGUAAAUACAUUCACAGGCCUGCUAUCAUUCGAUGUUCUGAAUGCUCGUGUGACGUGCUACACAAAAAUUCAUCCACUUUCAGGACGGCACCAGUUAUGUGUAAAAACAAUUGCAUUGACAUUGGUGAAAUUGAAGCAUAUUUCCACUGCAUUCUUGAGUCACCUUUUUAACUGUUCUCUAACUACAUGUAGCAACAUAAUUGCAGAGACUGCUCAGUUGAUGUGUGAAAUUUUAAAAGUAACUGUGGCUGUGCCACCAAAAGAUGAAUUCCAGUGGCACGUUUGCAUAUUCGGCAUUAGGUGAUUCACCUGAAGUCGUGCCAUGGCUGGCGAUAUUGCAAGUAGCCUGUACUGCACAGAGGCAUUUGUGCGUGUGACCUUGGCUCCAUCAAAGCGUGGCGGCCUUGAGAGUAAGUGCGGUCUUCUGUUUGGAAAUCCAGCAUUUUUUAUGUCACUCAGCCACUUCAUACUUUUCAGACACGGUCGUUGCCAUGUGAUCUACAUGCUGCACUUGUUUGCAUUGGCCAAACCUGCAGACUUCAACUUCAACACACUUUUUGUAAAUUAGCAAUGCACAUUCUUUUGCAACUUGUAUUCUUCAUUGAAAUGCUGAUUUAUACUACGCAUUCUGAUGCAAGUUUUCAUCUUAUGGUAUUCCGAGAUAUUUGCAGUUCACUUAUGAUCUGUGUGCAUAGAGUUGUGGUUAUUCUUCAAUGGCUGUUUGUUGUCCCUUUCCUUACUUGUAUUUUUUCACAAAAUAAACCACAUGCACUCAAUA